This 280-nucleotide ribosomal RNA is filed under the name uncultured bacterium. RNAcentral describes it as "partial 16S ribosomal RNA". It matches the Rfam family "Bacterial small subunit ribosomal RNA", at positions 29 to 334 of the family's 1533-position model. The record is from RNAcentral.
AGCGAACGCUGGCGGCAGGCUUAACACAUGCAAGUCGAGCGGGCACCUUCGGGUGUCAGCGGCAGACGGGUGAGUAACACGUGGGAACGUACCCUUCGGUUCGGAAUAACUCUGGGAAACUAGAGCUAAUACCGGAUACGUCCGAGAGGAGAAAGGUUUACUGCCGAAGGAUUGGCCCGCGUCUGAUUAGCUAGUUGGUGGGGUAAUGGCCUACCAAGGCGACGAUCAGUAGCUGGUCUGAGAGGAUGAUCAGCCACAUUGGGACUGAGACACGGCCCAA